UAACUCUGGUUUCUCUUCAAAUCGUAUAAAUCUUUCGCCUUUUACUAAAGAUUUCCGUGGAGAGGAACAGUAUUGAGUUUUAACUCAAUUUUCUUUCACAAACAUUUAAAUAAGAUGUA
Sorex fumeus (smoky shrew) is the source of this 119-nucleotide small nuclear RNA. RefSeq annotates it as U5 spliceosomal RNA. NCBI's taxonomy places the organism in Eukaryota, Metazoa, Chordata, Mammalia, Eulipotyphla, Soricidae. The transcript has a single exon. The record is from RefSeq and is a predicted model, not a curated record.